UACGUAGGGUGCGAGCGUUGUCCGGAAUUAUUGGGCGUAAAGGGCUCGUAGGCGGUUUGUCGCGUCGGGAGUGAAAACCAGGUGCUUAACACCUGGCUUGCUUUCGAUACGGGCAGACUAGAGGUAUGCAGGGGAGAACGGAAUUCCUGGUGUAGCGGUGAAAUGCGCGGAUAUCAGGAGGAACACCGGUGGCGAAGGCGGUUCUCUGGGCAUGACCUGACGCUGAGGAGCGAAAGUGUGGGGAGCGAACAGG
RNAcentral lists this ribosomal RNA (253 nucleotides) under uncultured bacterium. RNAcentral describes it as "partial 16S ribosomal RNA". It matches the Rfam family "Bacterial small subunit ribosomal RNA", at positions 524 to 776 of the family's 1533-position model. The record is from RNAcentral.